GUGUUUUCAGCUGAACUGCUUGAUCAAACUGUUUAAAACAAGUUUUACACUUUUAAGGUUUUUCUCCACUGUGCAAUAUCAAAUGUCUUCUCAAACCACCUGCUUCACUGAACUGUUUAAAACAAAUUUCACACUUGUGAGGUUUUUCUCCACUGUGCAAUAUCAAAUGUCUUCUCAAACCACCUGCUUCACUGAACUGUUUAAAACAAAUUUCACACUUGUGAGGUUUUUCUCCAGUGUGCGUUUUCAAAUGACUUUUCAAUCCACUUGUUGUAAUAAAUUGCUUUAAACAAGUUUCACACUUGUGCGGUUUUUCUCCAGUGUGCACUCUCAAAUGUUUUCUGAGAUUACCUGCUUCACUAAACCGUUUAAAAC
Molecule: long non-coding RNA, 375 nt
Organism: Diabrotica virgifera virgifera (western corn rootworm)
Lineage: Eukaryota; Metazoa; Arthropoda; Insecta; Coleoptera; Chrysomelidae
Exons: 3
Source: RefSeq, a predicted model, not a curated record